AAAAAUAUGAGAAAUGCCUGAACCGAGGAUGGAAAGAGGUUCGUGGUCUAUUAGGUAGAUUGAACUACAUGUCAUGGUUCACAUCUCUUCUAACAGCCACGAGGGAACCCAUUCAAGAAAAAGAGAUCAAACGGUCAGGUGAAAUAAUGAUUGCCAAGGGGCAUUGGAAAGAAUAAAAAAAAGAAUGACUAGCAGGAGCCUCUGAUUCUGAUACUUCCUGUGAAAGGAGCAAUUGUUAAUCUGUACCUGAC
Molecule: long non-coding RNA, 251 nt
Filed under: Lathyrus oleraceus (garden pea)
Lineage: Eukaryota; Viridiplantae; Streptophyta; Magnoliopsida; Fabales; Fabaceae
Description: Pisum sativum (pea) long non-coding RNA (PSAT_LNC035191)
Source: RNAcentral